UGCAGAUGAUGAUGCUGAUGAUGAUGAUGAUAGCGAUGGCGGUCAACGCAAUCACCCGGACCGCCGCCGCCGUCAUCAUCAUUGUCAUCAUCAUCA
RNAcentral lists this microRNA precursor (96 nucleotides) under Anopheles darlingi. RNAcentral describes it as "microRNA mir-598". Lineage: Eukaryota; Metazoa; Arthropoda; Insecta; Diptera; Culicidae. The record is from RNAcentral.